UUAUCCAUUAAAGAUAAUAAACAUCAAUCAAAUUAUCUAUAUCCCUUGAUAUAGUACAUCCCGAAAAUCUAAAUAAGUGCUUAAGAGGAUCAAAUCCCCUAGAUUUGGAGGAAUUAUUAGGUGCACAUAUAGCUUCAUGUGCUAUUUCUAAUAAUUAGCUUUCGGUGGUAGGGUUCCCCUAGUUUUGGCAGCAGCCGUGGAGCAUCAAGCAUGAUUCUGUUACUUUCCAUUCCGUUUCAAAUUUCUUUAAUUGUCCUUUCGCUCCAAAUAAGCUAGUAUUUACUAA
This 286-nucleotide unclassified non-coding RNA is filed under the name Hevea brasiliensis (rubber tree). Lineage: Eukaryota; Viridiplantae; Streptophyta; Magnoliopsida; Malpighiales; Euphorbiaceae. The record is from RNAcentral.